This 258-nucleotide ribosomal RNA is filed under the name uncultured bacterium. RNAcentral describes it as "partial 16S ribosomal RNA". It matches the Rfam family "Bacterial small subunit ribosomal RNA", at positions 524 to 776 of the family's 1533-position model. The record is from RNAcentral.
UACGGAGGGUGCGAGCGUUGUCCGGAAUCAUUGGGCGUAAAGGGCGCGUAGGUGGCCACUUCAAGCGUGCGGUGAAAGUCGGGGGCUCAACCCCUGAUCGGCCGUGCGAACUGGGGGGCUGGAGCACUGUAGAGGCAGGCGGAAUUCCGGGUGUAGCGGUGGAAUGCGUAGAGAGUCCGGAAGAACACCGGUGGCGAAGGCGGCCUGCUGGGCAGUUUUGCUGACACUGAGGCGCGACAGCGUGGGGGAGCAAACAGG